This 397-nucleotide ribosomal RNA is filed under the name uncultured bacterium. RNAcentral's name for it is "partial 16S ribosomal RNA". It matches the Rfam family "Bacterial small subunit ribosomal RNA", at positions 523 to 918 of the family's 1533-position model. The record is from RNAcentral.
AUACGUAGGUGACAAGCGUUAUCCGGAUUUACUGGGCGUAAAGGGCGUGUAGGCGGUCUUGCAAGUCAGAAGUGAAAUUCCUGAGCUCAACUCGGGCGCUGCUUCUGAAACUGCAGGACUUGAGUGCUGGAGGGGAUAGCGGAAUUCCUAGUGGAGCGGUAAAAUGCGCAGAUAUUAGGAAGAACACCGGUGGCGAAGGCGGCUAUCUGGACAGUAACGGACGCUGAGGCGCGAAAGCGUGGGGAGCAAACAGGAUUAGAUCCCCUGGUAGUCCACGCCGUAAACGAUGGGUACUAGGUGUAGGAGGUAUCGACCCCUUCUGUGCCGGAGUUAACGCAAUAAGUACCCCGCCUGGGGACUACGGUCGCAAGACUAAAACUCAAAGGAAUUGACGGGG